RNAcentral lists this RNase P RNA (242 nucleotides) under Alphaproteobacteria bacterium. RNAcentral describes it as "partial RNase P RNA component class A". It matches the Rfam family "Bacterial RNase P class A", at positions 144 to 367 of the family's 367-position model. Rfam says of the family: Ribonuclease P (RNase P) is a ubiquitous endoribonuclease, found in archaea, bacteria and eukarya as well as chloroplasts and mitochondria. Its best characterised activity is the generation of mature 5'-ends of tRNAs by cleaving the 5'-leader elements of precursor-tRNAs. Cellular RNase Ps are ribonucleoproteins. The record is from RNAcentral. Lineage: Bacteria; Pseudomonadati; Pseudomonadota; Alphaproteobacteria.
CCUUGUGAUAGUGAAAGGGUGCGGUAAGAGCGCACCGCGGCCCCGGCAACGGGGACGGCAUGGUAAACCCCACCGGGAGCAAGACCGAAUAGGGGCGGCGCGGGGAGCAAUCCCCAGGCUAUUUCGGCCCAGACCGCCCGGGUUGGUUGCUUGAGCCGUGCAGCAAUGUACGGCCUAGAGGAAUGGUCGCCUAUCCUUCGCAAGAAGGUGGACAGAACCCGGCUUACAGACCCUCUGGCAAU